CCUACGGGUGGCAGCAGUGAGGAAUAUUGGUCAAUGGACGAAAGUCUGAACCAGCCAUGCCGCGUGCAGGAAGACGGCUCUAUGAGUUGUAAACUGCUUUUGUACGGGGGUAAACGCAGACACGCGUAUCUUUCUGAAAGUAUCGUACGAAUAAGGAUCGGCUAACUCCGUGCCAGCAGCCGCGGUAAUACGGAGGAUUCAAGCGUUAUCCGGAUUUAUUGGGUUUAAAGGGUGCGUAGGCGGUCGGAUAAGUUAGUGGUGAAAUUCCGAGGCUCAACUUCGGAAUUGCCUUUGAUACUGUUCGUCUUGAGAAUAGUUGAGGUAGGUGGAAUGUAUGGUGUAGCGGUGAAAUGCUUAGAGAUCAUACAGAACACCGAUUGCGAAGGCAGCUUACCAAGCUACUUCUGACGUUGAGGCACGAAAGCGUGGGGAGCAAACAGGAUUAGAUACCCGUGUAGUC
Molecule: ribosomal RNA, 460 nt
Filed under: uncultured bacterium
Lineage: Bacteria
Description: partial 16S ribosomal RNA
Rfam family: Bacterial small subunit ribosomal RNA
Source: RNAcentral